GAUGAACGCUGGCGGCGUGCCUAAUACAUGCAAGUCGAGCGAACAGACGAGGAGCUUGCUCCUCUGACGUUAGCGGCGGACGGGUAAGUAACACGUGGAUAACCUACCUAUAAGACUGGGAUAACUUCGGGAAACCGGAGCUAAUACCGGAUAAUAUAUUGAACCGCAUGGUUCAAUAGUGAAAGACGGUUUUGCUGUCACUUAUAGAUGGAUCCGCGCCGCAUUAGCUAGUUGGUAAGGUAACGGCUUACCAAGGCGACGAUGCGUCGCCGACCUGAGAGGGUGAUCGGCCACACUGGAACUGAGACACGGUCCAGACUCCUACGGGAGGCAGCAGUAGGGAAUCUUCCGCAAUGGGCGAAAGCCUGACGGAGCAACGCCGCGUGAGUGAUGAAGGUCUUCGGAUCGUAAAACUCUGUUAUUAGGGAAGAACAAAUGUGUAAGUAACUAUGCACGUCUUGACGGUACCUAAUCAGAAAGCCACGGCUAACUACGUG
This 497-nucleotide ribosomal RNA is filed under the name uncultured bacterium. RNAcentral describes it as "partial 16S ribosomal RNA". It matches the Rfam family "Bacterial small subunit ribosomal RNA", at positions 28 to 507 of the family's 1533-position model. The record is from RNAcentral.